CUGGGAGAGUCUUGAGAACACUGUGGAAGGUCGAACAUUGAAGGAGUUCGGGAUUCAAUUCUGCUGUAGAAGUUCAGACGGAGUCCGAUUCUUGUAGGAGCUCGAAUAAAAUUCGAAAGGCGAUCGACCGUUGUAGAAACUUGGAUAGAGUCUGGUUACUGUAGACAUCCUGCUGUUGGAGAAACUCGGACAUUGAUGAUAUACGGAUGGUAUUAUGGAAGCUCGGAC
This 228-nucleotide long non-coding RNA is filed under the name Elaeis guineensis (African oil palm). Its description in RNAcentral is "long non-coding RNA (EGUI_LNC054146)". Lineage: Eukaryota; Viridiplantae; Streptophyta; Magnoliopsida; Arecales; Arecaceae. The record is from RNAcentral.